UCAAGGUUUUUUCCUCUUAAAACCUUUUAUUCCUAAGAGUUAUAAUGGGAAAUUGUUACUGUAAUUUUUGACUUUGCGUAAUUCAAAGUUGUGUAAUUUGGAAAGCGCAUUAUGUGUUAGUAAAUAGUUAUGGUCUACUUACUGCUACAUUAGUAUUCCCUUCACUAUUUCAGCCUUUUAAAUCCAUACACAUAAUAAGUACAAGAAUAAUGCCUACUGGUAAUUAUGUUUUAAUGUUUUUAUAAGUCAUUUGUGUGUUUCUAAGAAUACCUUCUUACAAUCUUCAACACUUGAGCUCAUUCUAUAAAUAGACAACUAGUACUUAAGACUUUCAACCACUUAGGCCCGUAUUUAUAAACCGAUCUCAAUACCGCUCUCAAGAGCGAUAUCAACUGAGUCACUCUCAAGAUGUAAACAGCGUCUUAAGUGCGACGUUAAUUAAUAGACGAAUAUUGAGCGCGUAUCACAUGAUAUCGAUCUCAAGUUCAGGAUCUCAAGUAAACGUCCUAAUUGAGUGAACUAUAGACCGAACGAAUCAACGUUUCGUUCCUGCUUUAAAAAAAUAUUUCGGUUUAGGGCUUCAAACAUAUUAAAAAUUGUUCAAUUCUUUACUAAAAUGUUAAAAUUAUUAUAAUUCAAACGUAGGUUAUUUAAAUUUAUUAUAAAAACGGUCAUUUAACGUUUUAAAAAUAAUUUGUUAUGAUUUCAAAACGCAAUGUGUAGUGAAAACAAAACGCAACAAACAUCAUUCUCAAAAAAAAAGACGCGUCCUUCGCAACCACUUGUUUUGUUUUUGUAUAGUUUAGACUUUAGUUAUCAAUAAUAAACGUAAAGUAAUUACUGUCCAUAACGAUGUCAACAAUUAAGAAGCAUAUUUUUACUCCCCUCGAGAAGAAAACUUUUUUGGAUAUAUUGAAAAGAUACUCCUCGGUGAUAGAGAAUAAGGAUACCGAUGGCGCUUCAUUACGCGCAAAAAAUGAAGCUUGGGAUAUUGUAACCAGAGAAUACAACGCAAGCCCUCAUGCUACCAAUCAGGUUACAAAUAAACAACUUAGGAGAUUGUGGAUGAACCUCAAGCAGCGGCAAAGGGAAGCACUGACAAAAGAACGUCAACAUCGGCUAGCUACUGGAGGAGGGCCUGCAACCAGCUGUAACCAGUGAUGCAGUUGUAGACCCAGAUGUGUCUGAGGUGGCCCCUGCUCUAAUAGUUGGUAUCGAUGAUGCUGUUGACUCUGAUACAAUUCCAGUAACCGCUGACCUUGCCGUCCAAGAAGUAAAUAUGGACUUGCAGCCCGUCUCUUGUCUUCCCCCAACUUCUUCCCAAAUACCAUCCACCAGUGCAUUUUCUUCAUCACCAUUCCCAUGCGCUGUUGUUACACAAGCACCACUUGCCCUUGCCCCAACCCGGACAACAUUGACACCACCUCCACCUGGAGUAGGUCCACUACUGUCUCUCACUACAACCACUCCACCACCAGCUCUCCCUACAACCACUCCACCACCACCUCUCCCUACAUCCACUCCACCACCACCACCUCUUACUGCUUCCACUCCACCACCACCUCUUCCUACAUCCACUCCACCACCACGUCUUCCUACCCCACCUCCACGUUUUCCUACUCCACCUCUUAUUAACCCAUCAAAUACAGCUACCCAAACUUUUCAAAGGCAUAAAAGUUCUAUUCUGGAUAAGGAAUAUAAAGACAGACAGAGACGGGCUAAUGAGAUUCAUGAGUUGGAGGUUUUAUUGUUAAGAGAAAGAAUAAGAGAAGCAAAGGCGAGAGCAGACCUCGCAGAACUUCAACUGCAGCAGCAGUGUUCGUCAGAUACUGCAACUGAUGCCUGAAGAGGGGAUGUGGCAUAAUAUAAUAAAUGGAAUAUUGUUAAUUUAUUAAAUAAAAGCAUAUAAGUCAAUAUAUAAAAUAUGUUUUAUUAAAUAAUUUCAAAUACUA
RNAcentral lists this long non-coding RNA (1952 nucleotides) under Pectinophora gossypiella (pink bollworm). Its description in RNAcentral is "uncharacterized LOC126378574". Lineage: Eukaryota; Metazoa; Arthropoda; Insecta; Lepidoptera; Gelechiidae. The record is from RNAcentral.